UACGUAGGGUGCGGGCGUUAAUCGGAAUUACUGGGCGUAAAGUGUGCGCAGGCGGCCGCGCAAGUCGAGUGUGAAAGCCCCGAGCUUAACUUGGGAAUUGCGCUCGAAACUACGUGGCUGGAGUGUGGCAGAGGAAGGUGGAAUUCCACGUGUAGCGGUGAAAUGCGUAGAUAUCUGGAGGAACACCGGUGGCGAAGGCGGCAUUCUGGACCAUAACUGACACUGAGAGACGAAAGCCAGGGGAGCAAACGGG
Molecule: ribosomal RNA, 253 nt
Filed under: uncultured prokaryote
Description: partial 16S ribosomal RNA
Rfam family: Bacterial small subunit ribosomal RNA
Source: RNAcentral